Molecule: ribosomal RNA, 161 nt
Filed under: uncultured bacterium
Lineage: Bacteria
Description: partial 16S rRNA
Rfam family: Bacterial small subunit ribosomal RNA
Source: RNAcentral
GGAAUCUUCCACAAUGGACGCAAGUCUGAUAGAGCAACGCCGCGUGAGUGAAGAAGGGUUUCGGCUCGUAAAGCUCUGUUGUUAAAGAAGAACGUGGGUAAGAGUAACUGUUUACCCAGUGACGGUAUUUAACCAGAAAGCCACGGCUAACUACGUGCCAG